CCGGUUUGGCACCUCGAUGUCGGCUCAUCGCAUCCUGGGGCUGGAGAAGGUCCCAAGGGUUGGGCUGUUCGCCCAUUAAAGCGGUACGCGAGCUGGGUUCAGAACGUCGUGAGACAGUUCGGUCCUUAUCCGCCGCUGGCGCAGGAUACUUGAGGGGACUCGUUCCUAGUACGAGAGGACCGGAACGAACAGACCUCUGGUGCACCGGUUGUCACGCCCGUGGCAUACGCCGGGUAGCUACGUCUGGACAGGAUAACCGCUGAAAGCAUCUAAGCGGGAAGCCUCCCCCAAGAUGAGGUAUCCCUGAAGGGCCCUGGGAGAUGACCAGGUUGAUAGGCGCUAGGUGUAAGCGUGGUGACACGUUGAGCCGAGGCGUACUAAUAGCCCGUUCGACUUGACCGCACC
RNAcentral lists this ribosomal RNA (405 nucleotides) under Candidatus Hydrogenedentota bacterium. RNAcentral's name for it is "bacterial LSU rRNA". It matches the Rfam family "Bacterial large subunit ribosomal RNA", at positions 2513 to 2925 of the family's 2925-position model. Lineage: Bacteria; Pseudomonadati; Candidatus Hydrogenedentota. The record is from RNAcentral.